RNAcentral lists this long non-coding RNA (1428 nucleotides) under Piliocolobus tephrosceles (Ugandan red Colobus). Its description in RNAcentral is "lncRNA (ENSPTEG00000004170.1)". Lineage: Eukaryota; Metazoa; Chordata; Mammalia; Primates; Cercopithecidae. The record is from RNAcentral.
AUGUUAAAGUCAGCUGUAAAAGCAAAAGAUGCAGCAUAUGAAAAUUUUCGAAAUGAUUUAAAUAACCACUUGAAAAGGAGACAGUCAGAUAGUGGUAAUAAGAAGAAUCCUAGCUUAAAAGAAAGUAUUGAAUAUGAAAGAAAAAAUAAUUACGAGUUAUAUAUAGACGACUCAGGUGCACUACAACAAGAACGUUGCAGUGUAGGUGAACCAAGACAAAUAUUAAAACAAAAUUUUGAAAACUUCAGAUAUUUAGUAAAUGAUUUAGAAAUUAUUUUCGGAGUUUAUAAAUUCAAUGCAUACGAUAAAGAAAAAGUAUUAAAAGAAACCUUAAAAAAAGAGUCAUUAUGUUUUACUAUUCUUGGAUUAUUAUUAAAUAAAAUAAAUGAAAUAAAAGUGAGUGAUUUAUCUGUUUAUGGUUUUUUGAUUAAUGGAAAAAGGGAUGUAAACAAUAAUGUCCAUAAAACACUAGAUAUAAAUAUAAUUUUAUCAAAUGUCACUGUCCCAUUAGGUGUAUUUGAUUUUCCUGAGGUUGUUUAUUGGCCAUACCAAAUACCAUUUUUAGUUGGUCACUAUGAUAAAAAUGUACAAUUUUCAAAGAAUUCUUCUUUUUCUUAUACUUGUUCUCUUCCAGCAUUUUUAACUGAUGUUAUAAAAACUACAACCACAGGAUUAAAAUUUAAUUUUAACGGAGAAGAUUUAAAUGUAAAUUUAUUAUUUCCUGCUACUUUACAACAUGCUAUAGAGAAUCCUAAGAAUUUACCAAUCCUAAAAGAAGAUGAAUAUAAAUAUGGAAGAAAUGAUUUGUUAAGUUUAAUUUAUAAUUAUAGAACAGAAAUUCCAAUUAUAAUGAUGAAAAACAAUGGACCAACAGAUAAAGCUAUAGUAGAACCAAGUCAAAGAAUAUUAGCAAAUGUUAGUUUUGCUAAAGCAAGAGAAGAAAUUAAAGACGCCCUGUCCCGUGCAAAAUAUAUUGACAUAGAUUCAAAUUCUUUACCACUUUACUUUAUAUUUUUAAGUGCAAAUUUAAAUUAUACAGUAAAUGAAAAAACAUCUAAUAAUGGAUUCAUAAGCAAAAUAAAAAUUAGUAAUAUAAAAAUAGAUGAUAAUGGAAACUUAAAAUCGUAUAGUAUACAUUUAGAAUUAGAAAAUGGGAAUUCGGCAAAUGCAAACGGUUUGGUAAAUGGAAAAAUUCUAUCUUUAUCUAAGCAAAUUAUGAGCAAUAAAGAGAUAAAUUAUACAAUUCCAAUAACAUAUGGAUUAGCAUUAGCAAACAAUGGAAAAGGUUUAAUUUUUAAUUUUGCUAAUAAUGAUUAUGAUUUAAAAACUGUAUUACCAUAUAACAUAAAUAAAAUGACUAUGAAUGUAACUAAUCAAUAAAUUAGAAUUUUUAAUAAAAAAAGGAAACAACGUUCUAAUUUAUAGGCU